This 132-nucleotide small nucleolar RNA is filed under the name Erinaceus europaeus (western European hedgehog). Its description in RNAcentral is "Small nucleolar RNA SNORA13 (ENSEEUG00000022807.1)". Lineage: Eukaryota; Metazoa; Chordata; Mammalia; Eulipotyphla; Erinaceidae. The record is from RNAcentral.
AGGUAUUGUGUUGCCCCCUGGCCUUGGAAAUCUAGUGCUUGUGGUGUAAAGUGUCCAAAUUGGACAGUUAUCAGGCUUUUUCUUACCCUAGAAUUGGUUUUCUUGUGUAUGGGAUCUACGCGAGUAACAGUG